Procambarus clarkii (red swamp crayfish) is the source of this 788-nucleotide long non-coding RNA. RefSeq lists it as uncharacterized. The record is from RefSeq and is a predicted model, not a curated record. Lineage: Eukaryota; Metazoa; Arthropoda; Malacostraca; Decapoda; Cambaridae.
UUGAGGAAAAGUGUACACGUUCGUAAGUACUUGCGAAACUGCAUCAUGAAUUUGGGGCUCGUUACCCCUUGUCCCUGACCGUGGAGAGCCAACAAGGCAGUGCGCCUCUGCCGUCACUUGCAGACCUCUCCUGGACGCUGUCCAAGCACCACACAUACACUUGGAGCUCCCUGAGUGCUGCACACCACACGGGCAUGGCAGCCACCAAACCACCCAUCACGGCGCUACUUGGCUGACCGAUCGCCUAUCACAGUACCAAAAUGGCAUGAUGCAGUGACCACACAUCCUAGUACCGAUAAUCAACAAGCGACAUCAGGAAGGCGGCGGCGGCGAAGCGCAUACUUGAUACAUCCAGCUGGAUGUGGUUCAGGGACGAUUAUUUCACUAGGCUACACUACUACUUUCACUAUACCCACAAACGCCGUCUUAUCUGCGACGGCACACCGAAAUUAUCUGAAUACCCACAUAGACAUCAAGAAAAUGAGGCACGUUGCCGCUAGCUUGUGCAAUACCACCAUCUAUAAUUGCAACAAGACUACCUUCAACCAACCACCAGAUAUCUAGAUAUAUUCUAAAGCUACAGUGAACAUAAUCCAUGUAUCCACACAACGUCGCGCCAGAUUUCGAAAUAUACACGGUACAGAGCCGCCUUCAACUGCAUGUGACGUAUAUGAAGCAGUAAGCACCGACGCUGGUACCACUGCCAUACUGAACCCUAACAUCCUGGUUCCUGCCUUCCACGAGGAUUACCCCCAACAUGACACACAUUGGAAGGAUUCAAUUUGCAU